Molecule: ribosomal RNA, 200 nt
Filed under: uncultured bacterium
Lineage: Bacteria
Description: partial 16S ribosomal RNA
Rfam family: Bacterial small subunit ribosomal RNA
Source: RNAcentral
AUUGAACGCUGGCGGCAUGCCUAACACAUGCAAGUCGAACGGCAGCGCGGACUUCGGUCUGGCGGCGAGUGGCGGACGGGUGAGGAAUGCAUCGGAAUCUGCCCCGACGUGGGGGAUAACGUAGGGAAACUUACGCUAAUACCGCAUACGACCGAGAGGUGAAAGUGGGGGACCGCAAGGCCUCACGCGAUUGGAUGAGC